UACGUAGGGGGCAAGCGUUAUCCGGAAUUACUGGGUGUAAAGGGAGCGUAGGCGGCAUGGUAAGCCAGAUGUGAAAGCCCGCGGCUUAACCGCGCGGAUUGCAUUUGGGACUAUCAAGCUAGAGUACAGGAGAGGAAAGCGGAAUUCCUAGUGUAGCGGUGAAAUGCGUAGAUAUUAGGAAGAACACCAGUGGCGAAGGCGGCUUUCUGGACUGAAACUGACGCUGAGGCUCGAAAGCGUGGGGAGCAAACAGG
RNAcentral lists this ribosomal RNA (254 nucleotides) under uncultured bacterium. Its description in RNAcentral is "partial 16S ribosomal RNA". It matches the Rfam family "Bacterial small subunit ribosomal RNA", at positions 524 to 776 of the family's 1533-position model. The record is from RNAcentral.